AAGGAUCAUUAUUGAAUUGUUUAAAAAUGGGGCAAGACGCUUUCGAGCUCUUCCUCUACAUUCUUUAUUCCUUAACACCUGUGAAUCGUUGCUGAGUUCGCUCAGUGGCACCUUUUCUACACACACACUUUAUAGUUUAGAACGUAAAAACAUAAAAUAAAAAUACAACUUUUGACAACGGAUCUCUUGGUUCUCCCAUCGAUGAAGAACGCAGCGAAAUGCGAUAAGUAAUGUGAAUUGCAGAAUUCAGUGAAUCAUCGAAUCUUUGAACGCACCUUGCGCUCCUUGGUAUUCCUUGGAGCAUGCCUGUUUGAGAGUCUUGAAUAUCUCUGCUUUCAUUUUUUUGUUUUCGAAAAGAUGACAAGUCAGGUCCUUGGGUCUGCUUGCGGUUUGUUACGAACACAAGCUUACCUUAAAUGAAUUAGCUGGACUUCAGCAGAGUUGUUAAGUAACAUUGAAAACUCUCGUAAUAUGAAGUCUGCUCUCUAAUCAUUCUUUCGAGAAUACUUUCUAUUUUGGCCUCAAAUCAGGUAGGACUACCCGCUGAACUUAA
RNAcentral lists this ribosomal RNA (553 nucleotides) under Exobasidium maculosum. RNAcentral describes it as "eukaryotic LSU rRNA". The stretch from base 167 to 320 matches the Rfam family "5.8S ribosomal RNA". Lineage: Eukaryota; Fungi; Basidiomycota; Exobasidiomycetes; Exobasidiales; Exobasidiaceae. The record is from RNAcentral.